GGGCUAGUGGCGCAACGGAUAACGCGUCUGACUACAGAUCAGAAGAUUAUAGGUUCAAAUCCUGGCUAGCUCG
Molecule: non-coding RNA, 73 nt
Organism: Gymnodraco acuticeps
Lineage: Eukaryota; Metazoa; Chordata; Actinopteri; Perciformes; Bathydraconidae
Source: the annotation of a RefSeq genome assembly